The sequence is a non-coding RNA, 329 nucleotides long. It matches the Rfam family "transfer-messenger RNA". From Rfam's summary of the family: Bacterial tmRNA, also known as 10Sa RNA or SsrA, is named for its dual tRNA and mRNA-like properties. Its role is to liberate the mRNA from a stalled ribosome. The record is from Rfam.
GGGAGUGUCAGGUUUCGACAGGAUAAGAACCAUGUUAUAAGCAAGUAGUAGUGAUACUAUAAAUCUUUUUUAAAAUAAUUGGAAACAGUUAUAAAUUAGCUGCGUAGUAACGCAACCAUUUUGCUAGGCUUGCUAUAGGCUUAGUAUAAAUGUUAUUUAUAUAGCUUACUUUAUAAUUAUGGUUAUAUUUAUAAAGGAAAUUAAUAACCUAGUUUAGAGCCCUUUGGCAAUUUAGCAUCUCUAAACGAAAAAGUUAAAUUGCAUAAACUUGUAGAAAGUAGUAUGUAGUCUUAUUUUGGACACGAGUUCAAUUCUCGUCACUUCCACCA